RNAcentral lists this ribosomal RNA (503 nucleotides) under uncultured bacterium. Its description in RNAcentral is "bacterial SSU rRNA". It matches the Rfam family "Bacterial small subunit ribosomal RNA", at positions 29 to 521 of the family's 1533-position model. The record is from RNAcentral.
AGUGAACGCUGGCGGCAGGCCUAAUACAUGCAAGUCGAACGGCAGCACAGCAGAGCUUGCUCUGUGGGUGGCGAGUGGCGGACGGGUGAGGAAUACAUGGGAAUCUGCCCAGUCGUGGGGGAUAACGUAGGGAAACUUACGCUAAUACCGCAUGCGCCCUUCGGGGGAAAGCCGGGGACCUUCGGGCCUGGCGCGAUUGGAUGAGCCCAUGUCGGAUUAGCUAGUUGGCGGGGUAAUGGCCCACCAAGGCGACGAUCCGUAGCUGGUCUGAGAGGAUGAUCAGCCACACUGGAACUGAGACACGGUCCAGACUCCUACGGGAGGCAGCAGUAGGGAAUAUUGGACAAUGGGCGCAAGCCUGAUCCAGCCAUGCCGCGUGAGUGAAGAAGGCCCUCGGGUUGUAAAGCUCUUUUGUCCGGAAAGAAAAGCGCCGGGUUAAUACCCUAGUGUCCUGACGGUACCGGAAGAAUAAGCACCGGCUAACUCGUGCCAGCAGCCGCGGU